UCUGAAAAUUUCCUUGUUCCCACAAGACUUGAUUGAAAGAGUUAGUCAGGGCUGCAAUUCUGGAAUCCCAGUCCAUGAACGAGUUAUCUGUAAGCUACAACAGGUUAGAGUUUCACAAUUUAUUUAGUUUACAUUAUUAUGCUAUUAUGUAAGUUUGUGAUCUGGAAGAAUGCUUUUAUUGUACAUAUCCUAACAAUUGGUAUCAGAGACUUCUUACAUAUAACUGAUAAUGUAAUUACAGUUCAUGAUUGUGAAACAUAUUAUAUUAAAUUUGUAUAUAUCAUGUUGUUCUUUUGUUGAACACUUUUUUGUUUUUAAAAAAAUAUUUUUUGUACUCCAGAUUUGUAAGGAUUCAUCCCUAUUUAAAAAAUUGUUUUAAACAGUUAAUAUAUGAGCUUAUAUGUUGAAAUGUGUCCUCUUUCCCAUCGGGUAAACUUGUAUAUUUUGAUGUUGUUAUGUCUGUCUUUUGAUUUGUUGACUUGUGUUGACUUUUCAAUUAAGUUGUGUGUUGAAUCAAUGAACGAAAGACAAUAUAUACACUGACUAAAACUUCACAAAUUACUCUAUAACUGAGUUGAACUUGUCUUGUUCAAGUGGUACUAUAUAUAUGAACUUGUUCAUAUAUUUGUUUGAAUAGUUAAGUUCCCUAUUGAUUCUAACUGUUUAUUAGCAUGAUUAUAUGUGUUUUUUGUUUUGUUUUUUUUUUAAAAGAAAAGUAUAAAAUGUAUGUUACUUAUGAUCUAUUUUAAAUCUCUUAGAUUAGCAAUGUCACACUUCAAUUCUAUGUCCUCUAUCUUGAACUAAAACAAAUUGGAAGGUCCUAACUAUGUGGAUUAAAAACGAAACCUUGACAUUGUUCUAACAUAUGAGGGUUUCAAGUAUGUGCUGGUUGAAGAAAGCCCCAUUAAACCUAAACCCUACUGAUAAAGAGAUUAAGGCCUAUGAGAAAUGGGUCAAGGUUGAUGAGAUGGCAAGGUGCUACACUCUUUCCUUAAUAUUGAAUGUCUUGCAGCAUCAACAUCAGUCGAUGACUCUGCUUACGAUAUGCUCGGAUCUCUCAAAGAGAAGUUUGAAGUGCAGAUCGUGUUGCCAAGUAGACUGCCAUAAAGGCUAUCUUAACCACCAAGAUAGUUGAAGGAUCACCUGUCAAGGAUCAUAUGUUGAACAUGAUGAGUUAUCUGAAUGAGCUGGAGAUACUUGGUGCUGCUAUUGAUAUGGAAUCUCAGCAAACUCCUCUCCUUAUGGAGUACAUGGUGGGGAACAUAUCGCUUCUUUGUUUAAACCGGCUAAAGCCCAAAAGAAGAAGAAAAAGUCGUGCAAGGUUGUGGCACCCAGAGGUGCGACAUGUGGUGUGGCUAAGCUAAGGGCAACUGCUACUAUUGCAAGCAACAUGGUCACCAGGAGGCAAUGCCCUGACUGUCAAGACAAAAUGAAGCACAAAGGUAAUUCUUGUUUGAAUGUCGUUGAAACAUGUUUAGUGGUUGUUUCUACCCAAUUAUGGGUUGUAGAGUCGGGAGCAACUGACCAUGUUUGCACUUCUUUGCAGGGGUUUCAAGAAAUGUGGCGGCUAAGUGAGAAUAAAGUUUGUGUUGUUCAUGUGAAUGGGAACAAGCACCAGACGCAGCAAUAGGAAAUAUCUCUUUUUCUUUGAGUAAUUCCAGAAUUCUUUUUUCAAAAGAUGUCCUUUAAUUAUGUACCUUCGAUAAGAUGAAAUUUGCUUUUUGUUUAAAA
Solanum pennellii is the source of this 1731-nucleotide long non-coding RNA. RefSeq lists it as uncharacterized. Lineage: Eukaryota; Viridiplantae; Streptophyta; Magnoliopsida; Solanales; Solanaceae. The transcript has 2 exons. The record is from RefSeq and is a predicted model, not a curated record.